CUCUCGGUAGCCAAGUUGGGAAGGCGCAAGACUGUAAAUCUUGAGGUCGGGCGUUCGACUCGCCCCCGGGAGACCA
RNAcentral lists this transfer RNA (76 nucleotides) under Saccharomyces cerevisiae (brewer's yeast). RNAcentral describes it as "T-RNA (76-MER) from Saccharomyces cerevisiae (PDB 2DLC, chain Y)". It matches the Rfam family "tRNA". Rfam says of the family: Transfer RNA (tRNA) molecules are approximately 80 nucleotides in length. Their secondary structure includes four short double-helical elements and three loops (D, anti-codon, and T loops). The record is from RNAcentral. Lineage: Eukaryota; Fungi; Ascomycota; Saccharomycetes; Saccharomycetales; Saccharomycetaceae.